UACGGAGGGGGCUAGCGUUGUUCGGAAUUACUGGGCGUAAAGCGUGCGCAGGCGGUUUUGUAAGUCUGAUGUGAAAUCCCCGGGCUCAACCUGGGAAUUGCAUUGGAGACUGCAAGGCUAGAAUCUGGCAGAGGGGGGUAGAAUUCCACGUGUAGCAGUGAAAUGCGUAGAGAUGUGGAGGAACACCGAUGGCGAAGGCAGCCCCCUGGGUCAAGAUUGACGCUCAUGCACGAAAGCGUGGGGAGCAAACAGG
RNAcentral lists this ribosomal RNA (253 nucleotides) under uncultured bacterium. RNAcentral describes it as "partial 16S ribosomal RNA". It matches the Rfam family "Bacterial small subunit ribosomal RNA", at positions 524 to 776 of the family's 1533-position model. The record is from RNAcentral.